GGCCACCCCGCUGCUGAUGCAGGCGCUGCCCAUGGGAGCCCUGCCCCAGGGGCCCAUGCAGAAUGCCACCAAGUAUGGCAACAUGACAGAGGACCAUACUGGAAGGUCUUUGAGAGCUGGAUGCACCAUUGGCUCCUGUUUGAAAUGAGCAGGCACUCCUUGGAGCAAAAGCCCACUGACGCUCCACCGAAAGAGUCACUGGAACUGGAGGACCCGUCUUCUGGGCUGGGUGUGACCAAGCAGGAUCUGGGCCCAGUCCCCAUGUGAGAGCAGCAGAGGCGGUCUUCAACAUCCUGCCAGCCCCACACAGCUACAGCUUUCUUGCUCCCUUCAGCCCCCAGCCCCUCCCCCAUCUCCCACCCUGUACCUCAUCCCAUGAGACCCUGGUGCCUGGCUCUUUCGUCACCCUUGGACAAGACAAACCAAGUCGGAACAGCAGAUAACAAUGCAGCAAGGCCCUGCUGCCCAAUCUCCAUCUGUCAACAGGGGCGUGAGGUCCCAGGAAGUGGCCAAAAGCUAGACAGAUCCCCGUUCCUGACAUCACAGCAGCCUCCAACACAAGGCUCCAAGACCUAGGCUCAUGGACGAGAUGGGAAGGCACAGGGAGAAGGGAUAACCCUACACCCAGACCCCAGGCUGGACAUGCUGACUGUCCUCUCCCCUCCAGCCUUUGGCCUUGGCUUUUCUAGCCUAUUUACCUGCAGGCUGAGCCACUCUCUUCCCUUUCCCCAGCAUCACUCCCCAAGGAAGAGCCAAUGUUUUCCACCCAUAAUCCUUUCUGCCGACCCCUAGUUCCCUCUGCUCAGCCAAGCUUGUUAUCAGCUUUCAGGGCCAUGGUUCACAUUAGAAUAAAAGGUAGUAAUUA
This 865-nucleotide long non-coding RNA is filed under the name Homo sapiens (human). Its description in RNAcentral is "HSALNT0096176". The record is from RNAcentral. Lineage: Eukaryota; Metazoa; Chordata; Mammalia; Primates; Hominidae.